Molecule: long non-coding RNA, 259 nt
Filed under: Homo sapiens (human)
Lineage: Eukaryota; Metazoa; Chordata; Mammalia; Primates; Hominidae
Description: non-protein coding lnc-GRXCR1-4:5
Source: RNAcentral
CACGUCACCUGCCAGCUUUGUGUGUGCCCAGUGAGGUGCAGGUGGCAUAAUGACCAGCGGUGACUUGAAUGACAAGGGGACAGAACAGCUGGACAAUCCAAUUCCUAGAUGCUUUCUCCAGUUAUGGCCCUGACUGGGAUCUCCGAAGAAUGACUCAGCUGAAACUGUCAGUGAGGAUGCUUACCUGUGGUCUCCCCAUCAUGGUGGUAUCAGGGUUGUUGAACACCUUACAUGGCUCCAAAAGCAAGUGUUCUGGAAU